GGUUGUGGCUCAGCGGUAGAGCGCUUGCCUAGCACUUGUGAGGCAUGAAGCCCUGGGUUCGAUCCUCUGCACCA
This 74-nucleotide transfer RNA is filed under the name Marmota monax (woodchuck). RNAcentral describes it as "tRNA.Ala". Lineage: Eukaryota; Metazoa; Chordata; Mammalia; Rodentia; Sciuridae. The record is from RNAcentral.